This 1449-nucleotide ribosomal RNA is filed under the name uncultured organism. RNAcentral's name for it is "SSU rRNA". It matches the Rfam family "Bacterial small subunit ribosomal RNA". The record is from RNAcentral.
UACAGGCUUAACACAUGCAAGUCGAGGGGCAGCAUUUUAGUUUGCUUGCAAACUGAAGAUGGCGACCGGCGCACGGGUGAGUAACACGUAUCCAACCUGCCGAUAACUCCGGAAUAGCCUUUCGAAAGAAAGAUUAAUACCGGAUAGUAUACGAAUAUCGCAUGAUAUUUUUAUUAAAGAAUUUCGGUUAUCGAUGGGGAUGCGUUCCAUUAGUUUGUUGGCGGGGUAACGGCCCACCAAGACUACGAUGGAUAGGGGUUCUGAGAGGAAGGUCCCCCACAUUGGAACUGAGACACGGUCCAAACUCCUACGGGAGGCAGCAGUGAGGAAUAUUGGUCAAUGGGCGAGAGCCUGAACCAGCCAAGUAGCGUGAAGGAUGAAGGCUCUAUGGGUCGUAAACUUCUUUUAUAUGGGAAUAAAGUUUUCCACGUGUGGAAUUUUGUAUGUACCAUAUGAAUAAGGAUCGGCUAACUCCGUGCCAGCAGCCGCGGUAAUACGGAGGAUCCGAGCGUUAUCCGGAUUUAUUGGGUUUAAAGGGAGCGUAGGUGGAUUGUUAAGUCAGUUGUGAAAGUUUGCGGCUCAACCGUAAAAUUGCAGUUGAAACUGGCAGUCUUGAGUACAGUAGAGGUGGGCGGAAUUCGUGGUGUAGCGGUGAAAUGCUUAGAUAUCACGAAGAACUCCGAUUGCGAAGGCAGCUCACUAGACUGUCACUGACACUGAUGCUCGAAAGUGUGGGUAUCAAACAGGAUUAGAUACCCUGGUAGUCCACACAGUAAACGAUGAAUACUCGCUGUUUGCGAUAUACAGUAAGCGGCCAAGCGAAAGCAUUAAGUAUUCCACCUGGGGAGUACGCCGGCAACGGUGAAACUCAAAGGAAUUGACGGGGGCCCGCACAAGCGGAGGAACAUGUGGUUUAAUUCGAUGAUACGCGAGGAACCUUACCCGGGCUUAAAUUGCAACAGAAUAUAUUGGAAACAGUAUAGCCGUAAGGCUGUUGUGAAGGUGCUGCAUGGUUGUCGUCAGCUCGUGCCGUGAGGUGUCGGCUUAAGUGCCAUAACGAGCGCAACCCUUAUCUUUAGUUACUAACAGGUCAUGCUGAGGACUCUAGAGAGACUGCCGUCGUAAGAUGUGAGGAAGGUGGGGAUGACGUCAAAUCAGCACGGCCCUUACGUCCGGGGCUACACACGUGUUACAAUGGGGGGUACAGAAGGCGGCUACCUGGUGACAGGAUGCUAAUCCCAAAAACCUCUCUCAGUUCGGAUCGAAGUCUGCAACCCGACUUCGUGAAGCUGGAUUCGCUAGUAAUCGCGCAUCAGCCAUGGCGCGGUGAAUACGUUCCCGGGCCUUGUACACACCGCCCGUCAAGCCAUGAAAGCCGGGGGUACCUGAAGUACGUAACCGCAAGGAGCGUCCUAGGGUAAAACUGGUAAUUGGGGCUAAGUCAUAACA